Molecule: ribosomal RNA, 435 nt
Filed under: uncultured bacterium
Lineage: Bacteria
Description: bacterial SSU rRNA
Rfam family: Bacterial small subunit ribosomal RNA
Source: RNAcentral
CUACGGGAGGCAGCAGUGGGGAAUAUUGGACAAUGGGCGCAAGCCUGAUCCAGCAAUGCCGCGUGAGUGAGGAAGGCCUUAGGGUUGUAAAGCUCUUUCACCCACGACGAUGAUGACGGUAGUGGGAGAAGAAGCCCCGGCUAACUUCGUGCCAGCAGCCGCGGUAAUACGAAGGGGGCGAGCGUUGUUCGGAUUUACUGGGCGUAAAGGGCGCGCAGGCGGCAGAUCAAGUCAGGCGUGAAAGCCCCGGGCUUAACCUGGGAGGUGCGCCUGGGACUGGUUUGCUUGAGAUCGGGAGAGGAGCGUGGAAUUCCCAGUGUAGAGGUGAAAUUCGUAGAUAUUGGGAAGAACACCGGUGGCGAAGGCGGCGCUCUGGACCGAGACUGACGCUGAGGCGCGAAAGCGUGGGGAGCAAACAGGAUUAGAUACCCCGGU